CAGUAGCCACGGUAAUACAGAGGGUGCGAGCGUUAAUCGGAUUUACUGGGCGUAAAGCGUGCGUAGGCGGCUUUUUAAGUCGGAUGUGAAAUCCCUGAGCUUAACUUAGGAAUUGCAUUCGAUACUGGGAAGCUAGAGUAUGGGAGAGGUUGGUAGAAUUCCAGGUGUAGCGGUGAAAUGCGUAGAGAUCUGGAGGAAUACCGAUGGCGAAGGCAGCCAUCUGGCCUAAUACUGACGCUGAGGUACGAAAGCAUGGGGAGCAAACAGGAUUAGAUACCCGAGUAGUCCCUGUCUCUUAUAU
Molecule: ribosomal RNA, 301 nt
Filed under: uncultured bacterium
Lineage: Bacteria
Description: partial 16S ribosomal RNA
Rfam family: Bacterial small subunit ribosomal RNA
Source: RNAcentral